This 99-nucleotide small RNA is filed under the name Escherichia coli. RNAcentral's name for it is "partial RtT sRNA". It matches the Rfam family "RtT RNA", at positions 34 to 130 of the family's 130-position model. Rfam says of the family: This family represents a bacterial cis-regulatory element known as RtT RNA. The exact function of RtT is unknown although it is thought that it may be involved in changing the cellular response in relation to amino acid starvation. Lineage: Bacteria; Pseudomonadati; Pseudomonadota; Gammaproteobacteria; Enterobacterales; Enterobacteriaceae. The record is from RNAcentral.
GACCAAGGUUCGACUCGAGCGCCAGCGAGAGAGCGUUGCCGCAGGCAACGACCCGUAGGGCGAAGCGCGCAGCGCUGAGUAAUCCUUCCCCCACCACCA